GACGGAGGGGGCUAGCGUUGUUCGGAAUGACUGGGCGUAAAGGGCGCGUAGGUUGUUUAUUAAGUUAGAUGUGAAAGCCCUGGGCUUAACCCAGGAACUGCAUUUAAAACUGAUGAACUAGAGUGUGGUAGAGGGACGUGGAAUUCCGAGUGUAGAGGUGAAAUUCGUAGAUAUUCGGAGGAACAUCUGAGGCGAAGGCGACGUCCUGGGCCACUACUGACACUGAGGCGCGAAAGCGUGGGGAGCAAACAGG
RNAcentral lists this ribosomal RNA (253 nucleotides) under uncultured bacterium. Its description in RNAcentral is "partial 16S ribosomal RNA". It matches the Rfam family "Bacterial small subunit ribosomal RNA", at positions 524 to 776 of the family's 1533-position model. The record is from RNAcentral.